AGUCAAUAGAUACCCAGGUAGUCCACGCCCUAAACGAUGAUCACUCGAUGUGUGCGAUACACUGUACGCGUCUGAGCGAAAGCAUUAAGUGAUCCACUUGGGGAGUACGACCGCAAGGUUGAAACUCAAAGGAAUUGACGGGGGCCCGCACAAGCGGAGGAGCAUGUGGUUUAAUUCGAUGAUACGCGAGGAACCUUACCAGGGCUUGAAAGUUAGUGAAGGAUGUGGAAACAUGUCCGUCAGCAAUGACACGAAACUAGGUGCUGCAUGGCUGUCGUCAGCUCGUGCCGUGAGGUGUUGGGUUUAAGUCCCGCAACGAGCGCAACCCCUAUCAUUAGUUGCCAACAGGUCAAGCUGGGGACUCUAAUGAGACUGCCCGCGCAAGCGGUGAGGAAGGUGGGGAUGACGUCAAGUCAUCACGGCCCUUACGUCCUGGGCUACACACGUGCUACAAUGGCCGGUACAGAGGGCAGCCACAUGGUAACAUGGAGCUAAUCCUUAAAGCCGGUCUCA
Molecule: ribosomal RNA, 513 nt
Filed under: uncultured bacterium
Lineage: Bacteria
Description: bacterial SSU rRNA
Rfam family: Bacterial small subunit ribosomal RNA
Source: RNAcentral